AACCGGAUUAGAUACCCUGGGUAGUCCACGCCCUAAACGAUGCCAACUAGGUGUUGGGGAAGGAGACUUCCUUAGUACCGUAGCUAACGCGUGAAGUUGGCCGCCUGGGGAGUACGGUCGCAAGAUUAAAACUCAAAGGAAUUGACGGGGACCCGCACAAGCGGUGGAUGAUGUGGAUUAAUUCGAUGCAACGCGAAAAACCUUACCUACCCUUGACAUGCCAGGAACCCUGCUGAGAGGUGGGGGUGCUCGAAAGAGAGCCUGGACACAGGUGCUGCAUGGCUGUCGUCAGCUCGUGUCGUGAGAUGUUGGGUUAAGUCCCGCAACGAGCGCAACCCUUGUCAUUAGUUGCCAUCAUUUAGUUGGGCACUCUAAUGAGACUGCCGGUGACAAACCGGAGGAAGGUGGGGAUGACGUCAAGUCCUCAUGGCCCUUAUGGGUAGGGCUUCACACGUCAUACAAUGGUCGGUACAGAGGGUUGCCAAGCCGCGAGGUGGAGCCAAUCCCAGAAAGCCGAUCGUAGUCCGGAUCGGAGUCUGCAACUCGACUCCGUGAAGUCGGAAUCGCUAGUAAUCGUGGAUCAGCAUGCCACGGUGAAUACGUUCCCGGGUCUUGUACACACCGCCCGUCACACCAUGGGAGUGGGUUUCACCAGAAGUAGGUAGCCUAACCGCAAGGGGGGCGCUUACCACGGUGGGAUUCAUGACUGGGGUGAAGUCGUAACAAGGUACC
RNAcentral lists this ribosomal RNA (732 nucleotides) under uncultured bacterium. RNAcentral's name for it is "bacterial SSU rRNA". It matches the Rfam family "Bacterial small subunit ribosomal RNA", at positions 771 to 1500 of the family's 1533-position model. The record is from RNAcentral.